RNAcentral lists this ribosomal RNA (357 nucleotides) under uncultured bacterium. RNAcentral describes it as "bacterial SSU rRNA". It matches the Rfam family "Bacterial small subunit ribosomal RNA", at positions 29 to 416 of the family's 1533-position model. The record is from RNAcentral.
AACGAACGCUGGCGGCAGGCCUAACACAUGCAAGUCGAACGCUCCGCAAGGGGGAGUGGCGCACGGGUGAGUAACACGUGGGAACCUACCUUCUGGUACGGAACAACCAAGGGAAACUUUGGCUAAGACCGUAUACGACCUCCGGGUGAAAGAUUGAUCGCCGGAAGAGGGGCCCGCGUCCGAUUAGGUAGUUGGUGAGGUAACGGCUCACCAAGCCUUCGAUCGGUAGCUGGUCUGAGAGGAUGACCAGCCACACUGGACUGAGACACGGCCCAGACUCCUACGGGAGGCAGCAGUGGGAAUAUUGGACAAUGGGCGCAAGCCUGAUCCAGCCAUGCCGCGUGAGUGAUGAAGGCC